Molecule: ribosomal RNA, 497 nt
Filed under: uncultured bacterium
Lineage: Bacteria
Description: partial 16S ribosomal RNA
Rfam family: Bacterial small subunit ribosomal RNA
Source: RNAcentral
GAUGAACGCUGGCGGCGUGCCUAAUACAUGCAAGUCGAGCGAACAGACGAGGAGCUUGCUCCUCUGACGUUAGCGGCGGACGGGUGAGUAGCACGUGGAUAACCUACCUAUAAGACUGGGAUAACUUCGGGAAACCGGAGCUAAUACCGGAUAAUAUAUUGAACCGCAUGGUUCAAUAGUGAAAGACGGUUUUGCUGUCACUUAUAGAUGGAUCCGCGCCGCAUUAGCUAGUUGGUAAGGUAACGGCUUACCAAGGCGACGAUGCGUAGCCGACCUGAGAGGGUGAUCGGCCACACUGGAACUGCGACACGGUCCAGACUCCUACGGGAGGCAGCAGUAGGGAAUCUUCCGCAAUGGGCGAAAGCCUGACGGAGCAACGCCGCGUGAGUGAUGAAGGUCUUCGGAUCGUAAAACUCUGUUAUUAGGGAAGAACAAAUGUGUAAGUAACUAUGCACGUCUUGACGGUACCUAAUCAGAAAGCCACGGCUAACUACGUG